Molecule: ribosomal RNA, 377 nt
Filed under: uncultured eukaryote
Lineage: Eukaryota
Description: partial 18S ribosomal RNA
Rfam family: Eukaryotic small subunit ribosomal RNA
Source: RNAcentral
CAAUAGCGUAUAUUUAAGUUGCUGCAGUUAAAAAGCUCGUAGUUGGAUUUCGGGUGGGAAUGGCCGGUCCGCCGUUUCGGUGUGCACUUGCUACGCCCACCUUGCUGCCGGGGACGUGCUCUUGAGUUCACGCUCGGGACACGGAGUCGGCAAGGUUACUUUGAGUAAAUUAGAGUGUUCAAAGCAGGCCUACGCUCUGAAUACAUUAGCAUGGAAUAACACGAUAGGACUCUGGCCUAUCUUGUUGGUCUGUAGGACCGGAGUAAUGAUUAAGAGGGACAGUCGGGGGCAUUCGUAUUUCAUUGUCAGAGGUGAAAUUCUUGGAUUUAUGAAAGACGAACUACUGCGAAAGCAUUUGCCAAGGAUGUUUUCAUUAA